Molecule: long non-coding RNA, 890 nt
Organism: Daphnia pulex (common water flea)
Lineage: Eukaryota; Metazoa; Arthropoda; Branchiopoda; Diplostraca; Daphniidae
Exons: 3
Source: RefSeq, a predicted model, not a curated record
UAGACCUUUUUCACAAUGCGGAAAGUCGGGAUUUUCCAAUCCGGCAACGCCGUAAUCGGCCAUUUUAGUUCCCAUUAUUUUUUCCCUGUGUAAAUUCCCAUAAGGAAUCGAGGUACCUUUAGUUUUAAUUCAUUUUUUAAUUAUUGGUUUCUUACAGCCAAUUUAUUUUUCAUCGAUCGUGUUCCCCGAUGAAUUGGUUGUUUUGAUUCUGGUAUGUAAAAACAGACAUGUUAUGUGCUUGGCUGCGGUGCUGUAACUUUUGCUUCCCAAAAGUGAAUGUUAAUGGACAUCUAGAAUAUGGGGUUGCAAAAAGUAGGAGACAGGUAUAUGGCUGCUGAAAAGAACAAAUUUGAGAGAAAAAGUUUUAUAAAAAUAUACAGCAGAGUAUGCAGUCAACAUUUUACUUCUGGUAACAUAGUAAAUUUUAUAAAGUAAUUCAUAUGAUUGAGUCGUGUUGGAAAUAUUUCUCUGAAAUAAUUAACUAAGUAACAUUUUUUUAUCUGCACCAACACAUAAUAAUGAGCAAAAUUCCAUUGGGAUUGCUACUGUUGAAAGAAUUAGUCGCUCUCUAAGAUUCUAAGAAGGCAGAUUGCUGGGACAUGUUCAACGAUGUAAGAGGAUGACACACAUUCCACAAGACGUAGUUACUGAUUUCAUGAAAGAUACAACUGUACCUAAGGUUACUAUGCAGAACACGUUUGAUGAACACAUCAACACAUAGGUAAAUCAAGUAACAAUCAGAAUCCAUCUACCUGCAAAACAGUCAUCGGUUCUUUGAAUAAAAAGUAUUGAAAAAUGAGAAAUAAUUACUAGUUGAAGCAGUGUCACGUCACGUCUUUAGUAUUUUUAUUAAUAACUUUAUUUCAUGUUUAAUACAAUGUUUCACUCGA